GUGAAUCAUCAAAUUUUUGAACGCAAAUUGCACUCUCUUCGGAGAGUAUGCCUGUGUGAGGGUCAGCCUAAAAAAAAUCGAAAUCGUGGCUGUUUCGCGGUGGCGGUCGUCGGAAAUUGGGUUAUCUUAAAUCUUUGGUUUAAGCGACUUAAAAUAUUCUUUACGAUUCGAGGAACGUUUACAAGAUUUAUAUCUUUACAAGUUUAAGGUAUCGAUUGUAUUAGGCGUGGUCGUCAUAUCGGAACAUGUCGAUAAUUUGUCGUUAACUGA
This 270-nucleotide unclassified non-coding RNA is filed under the name Glomus sp. RNAcentral describes it as "partial contains 5.8S ribosomal RNA and internal transcribed spacer 2". The stretch from base 1 to 65 matches the Rfam family "5.8S ribosomal RNA", at positions 84 to 154 of the family's 154-position model. Lineage: Eukaryota; Fungi; Glomeromycota; Glomeromycetes; Glomerales; Glomeraceae. The record is from RNAcentral.